AUUGAACGCUGGCGGCAGGCCUAACACAUGCAAGUCGAGCGGAUGAAGGGAGCUUGCUCCUGGAUUCAGCGGCGGACGGGUGAGUAAUGCCUAGGAAUCUGCCUGGUAGUGGGGGAUAACGUCCGGAAACGGGCGCUAAUACCGCAUACGUCCUGAGGGAGAAAGUGGGGGAUCUUCGGACCUCACGCUAUCAGAUGAGCCUAGGUCGGAUUAGCUAGUUGGUGGGGUAAAGGCCUACCAAGGCGACGAUCCGUAACUGGUCUGAGAGGAUGAUCAGUCACACUAGAACUGAGACACGGUCCAGACGCCUACGGGAGGCAGCAGUGGGGAAUAUUGGACAAUGGGCGAAAGCCUGAUCCAGCCAUGCCGCGUGUGUGAAGAAGGUCUUCGGAUUGUAAAGCACUUUAAGUUGGGAGGAAGGGCAGUAAGUUAAUACCUUGCUGUUUUGACGUUACCAACAGAAUAAGCACCGGCUAACUUCGUG
This 484-nucleotide ribosomal RNA is filed under the name uncultured bacterium. RNAcentral's name for it is "partial 16S ribosomal RNA". It matches the Rfam family "Bacterial small subunit ribosomal RNA", at positions 30 to 507 of the family's 1533-position model. The record is from RNAcentral.